CCCUUAGAUGUUCUGGGCCGCACGCGCGCUACACUGAUGCAUUCAACGAGCCUAGCCUUGACCGAGAGGUCCGGGUAAUCUUUGAAACUGCAUCGUGAUGGGGCUAGAUUAUUGCAAUUAUUAAUCUUCAACGAGGAAUGCCUAGUAAGCGUGAUUCAUCAAAUCGCGUUGAUUACGUCCCUGCCCUUUGUACGCACCGCCCGUCGCUCCUACCGAUUGAGUGUGUUGGUGAGGAGUUCGGAUUGGCUCUUAGUGGUGGUUCGCCACCACCUAGAGCUGAGAAGUUCUCCAAACCGCCCCACUUAGAGGAAGGAGAAGUCGUAACA
Molecule: ribosomal RNA, 326 nt
Filed under: uncultured eukaryote
Lineage: Eukaryota
Description: partial 18S ribosomal RNA
Rfam family: Eukaryotic small subunit ribosomal RNA
Source: RNAcentral